Molecule: long non-coding RNA, 437 nt
Organism: Antechinus flavipes (yellow-footed antechinus)
Lineage: Eukaryota; Metazoa; Chordata; Mammalia; Dasyuromorphia; Dasyuridae
Exons: 2
Source: RefSeq, a predicted model, not a curated record
CAGGAGCCAGAGGGAAUGGGCCCUGGGAGCCUCGGACCUCCUCCCCAGAUGACAGAACUUCGGAUGUCCCCAUUCCUUUGUUUGUGGAGAUGUCUACCUGCUCACCCUCCUUGCCAGAAGUAACAUUUCCCAGCCCUCCUUUCUCUCCACCCACUUCCCCUCUUUCCAGUCUCUCCUUAAGAUCAUGAAGACAUGACAGACAUUUCCAGCUUUCCUCUACUUUGAUUCCCAAAGAAGGGUCUAAGUUGACACGUAUCAUCUCACUAUGGUUGCAUAUAACUGGUUUGUCCUUUUAUUUUGAGUCCCUGGAGCAAGUUCAUUCAGGAUUAUUUUUUGUAUUUCUCUUCACUUGUGUCUGAACUUCUAAAGUUUUUUUUCAUUUAUGGUCUUCCUUAGGAAUGCUUGGAAGAAUUUUCAUUAAAGGUCCUUUCCCCUAA